This 78-nucleotide ribosomal RNA is filed under the name Candidatus Atribacteria bacterium. Lineage: Bacteria; Pseudomonadati; Atribacterota; Atribacteria. The record is from RNAcentral.
UACGGUGGCUAUAGCGAAGGGGAAACACCUGUUCCCAUCCCGAACACAGAAGUUAAGCCCUUCAGCGCCGAUGGUACU